Molecule: ribosomal RNA, 301 nt
Filed under: uncultured bacterium
Lineage: Bacteria
Description: partial 16S ribosomal RNA
Rfam family: Bacterial small subunit ribosomal RNA
Source: RNAcentral
CAGCCGCCGCGGUAAUACGAAGGGGGCUAGCGUUGCUCGGAAUCACUGGGCGUAAAGGGUGCGUAGGCGGGUCUUUAAGUCAGGGGUGAAAUCCUGGAGCUCAACUCCAGAACUGCCUUUGAUACUGAAGAUCUUGAGUUCGGGAGAGGUGAGUGGAACUGCGAGUGUAGAGGUGAAAUUCGUGGAUAUUCGCAAGAACACCAGUGGCGAAGGCGGCUCACUGGCCCGAUACUGACGCUGAGGCACGAAAGCGUGGGGAGCAAACAGGAUUAGAUACCCGUGUAGUCCCUGUCUCUUAUAC